CCUGUGAUUGCCUGUGGCUCUCCGUCAGACUGCAUGUGUCCUUUCCUAGUUCGCCAAGACUAAGAUGCAUUCCCAACCUACUGCUAAAUCAAGGGCCUCAGUGUCACUCCCAGGUCCUUGCUUGGAGCAGUCUCUCUACUGACUCCGAAGAUCGCACCACUGCUACACGGGCUAUCAAGUAACUAACUGCGUACCUGCCAUCGGCAUCAUCAGAACAGUCAGAGAAAAUAGUCUCCACUCACUAAUUACCUCCUAUAUAACAAUGUAGGCUUUCUGUAGUUCAGUAGUCUGCUCUCAUCAGCGACGUGCACUGGGAAGUUUCCAGGCUGUAAAAACUGGGAGCUCGAAUUCAUCUCCCCAAGUGUGACCCUUAGAUGCUUUAGUGAACAAAACACACAGGAAAAAAAAAAAAAAUACAAGAAAGCUGUUGUGUUUUUGUUUUCACAAAACUGUGAUUUUUUUUUCCAACUUCUGAAUGCUAUGAUGUCCCAGCGCGGGAAGCUAAUGCUGUGCCAAUAUACGAGGUUGUAUAAAACCAACCAACCUACACACAAACUUCUCAUAGGCACUGGAUAAAGAGAAGUGGAUGUUUGUUGACUCAAAUCAGUUUUUCAGAGAGGAAAUUUCACUGGGAAUGAAGAGGCGGGUAAAUUGGUUUGUUAUUUUUUAAAAACGUGCAUGUUUAAAAAAAAAAACGUUGAUUGCUUCAAAUUUCUGCUACUAACUUCAAGCUACAGGAGUUUGGCGGUAGUCACUUGAAGAUUUUUUUCCAAUUAUUUUCUUUUUGUUGUUAAAGCUGUACUUCAGUGAACAGAAACAUUGCCAAGCAAACUAAUGGCUGUAAAAGCGUAAAUUGCAUGUGUGGGAAUAAAUUACGGAGCCUCACUGCCAUGAGGUAUUGUACAAAGUUUUAAUACAUUUUGUAAAUAAAAUUGUAAAGAAAGAAUUCUGUUUCUGGGCUUUGACUGUUCAGAUUUUAUUGGGAUGCAGGUGCCAAGAGGUUAUUAUUCACCAAUUGACUUCCCACCAGAAGUUUCACCAAUGAUGUUUGGUCACCUUACUGGUGAUCUUCACCAACUAUUAUGCCUCUCCCCACCCCAACUGCAACUGCAGUCAGGUUCCAACUCCUAAUCUAAAUGGAAUGGGCCAUGAAGACCCUUGAUUAGGUCUGCCAGGAUCACCACCAGUGAGGUGGCAUCAACAAACAGCAAGAAGCAGGACUUCAGUUCAUAUGUUAAGGAGGAAAAGUUUGACUUCAAGACCUUCGCUCCUACUCAUCAUCUCCUCCACCCUCAGGGACCCUCUC
RNAcentral lists this long non-coding RNA (1306 nucleotides) under Bos grunniens (domestic yak). Its description in RNAcentral is "lncRNA (ENSBGRG00000010446.1)". Lineage: Eukaryota; Metazoa; Chordata; Mammalia; Artiodactyla; Bovidae. The record is from RNAcentral.